AUAAAGAACAUUCAGAAAGUUAAUUCAUAAGCAAUAUGAAAACUGUACUAGUUGUUUUUCAUAAUUUUAAAAAAAUAUUAAAUGAAGCCAUCCAUUUUGUAAAGGAAGUCAAAGAGAGAAAUACAGGAAUCCAGAACAAAGACAGUGAGUGAGACAACAGAAGAAAUAAGACAUGAUCUGUUAGAACUUGAGGAAGAAGUAGAAAAAAGGAAAAAAAUGCAAAAAUGAAGACAAAACUUGAAGAUAUGCAAAGGAGAGCAGAAACAUAUAAAAAUAUAUAAUAGGGGGCACAGAGAGUAACAAUUUAACUUUCGAACAUGAAGAAUGGAGAUGAAGACACAAAUAGGAACAAUUAGACAGACUGUAAUAAAUAUAGAAGAUGGGCAAAAUAAGUCAAUAUAUGCCUAAUUGGAGUCUUGAAUAAAUGAACAAAUAUUUAUACAAUUCUUGAAAAUUUUUAUUUAAUAUACAUACUAGAAGAACACACAGUCAGCUAGAGAAGUGGCCCAGAAUGAUUAACACUGAGCUAUAGUCUAGUCAGGUUAUUAGGCUUUAACAAUACAGAAACAAGUAGAAGGGGAAAAAAAUAAGGUAGGCUUCAAAUUUCUCUGAAGCCAUAGAAAAUACCAGAAUAGCAUUGAGCAAUAUCUAAAAGAUAAAUAAAAGAGAAAGCCUAAGCUCAGGCUGUAUUAAAACCAGGAUAUAAAAGAUGAAGCCACAUUUUGUAGGACAAGCUGCCCUACAAGUAAAAUAUACAAUAAUUCUAGAAAUAUUGUCUCUAUGAACAUUCUUGAGGAUCUAUUUAAGAAAUUGCCAAAGAAUUCAUGAAAGAAAAAGUCAGUGAGACAGAAAUAACCUAAUUAUGGAACUUCCCCUAAAAUGAAAAUGGAAACUAAAGUGGUUUGAACCACACAAUUGCAAUAUCCAUGGUUUCUUCUUUCCUCCUGCGUCUUUGCAUUUUCAUCUGGAGUUUUUUCUGCUUGAAGACCCUUUCAUGUUUUCUUUGGUGCUGUGUUAUUUUUUAUAUUUUUAAAACAUUUUUUAUCCUCCGUUGAAUUCAUAAACGCAGAACCCAAAGAUAGAAAGGGUUGACUGUAAUCGUUAAUAAAAAUCAUGCAACUGAAAAACAAUUUCAUAUUGAACAUUUUAUAUUCAUAUAUCAUUUUAAAGUCCUCAUUGAUGUAUCUUAAAUUAUUUUG
RNAcentral lists this long non-coding RNA (1199 nucleotides) under Callithrix jacchus (white-tufted-ear marmoset). RNAcentral describes it as "lncRNA (ENSCJAG00000086998.1)". Lineage: Eukaryota; Metazoa; Chordata; Mammalia; Primates; Cebidae. The record is from RNAcentral.